AUGCUGCCCAAAAAAGUUUGCGGAGGCCCAAAAGGAAAGUGGCCGGCUCCAAAGGCACCCAAGCGUCCUGCACCUAAGGAGACUGACCGGUACAGUUCCGACUCUGACACAGAGGAGAAGAUGGCUGAGCAGGACUUUAUCUUAGCCAAGAUUGAAGAAUUUGAGAAGAGACAUGUGUCUCCUCGGUUCACUGGUAACAAAACAAGGGUAGAGGGAAAAGAAAGUUUUAAUAAGUCCAUAUUGUCCCGUUUAGCUGCAGUGGAAGAGUGCAUGGAUGCGGAGGAUGUGGCCAGCCCUAACAUUACACAAGCUGAUGAUGUCCAUCCUGAAGCGGUGGUCGCUAGGGUGCCUGCUAGCGUAGAUGAGUCAGCAACUCUUGAUAUUUUUGGUAGUAGGUCAGCUUUGCCUUGGGUUUGGGCAUCCAUAGGGCAACAGGCCUCUCAUGCGAGCAGAGGGAGUGGUUCAGAUAACACAGUGCCUUUAGCUGGCCAUAUUCCCCAUACUAGCCACUCCAUUGCUCCUUACGGAGUUAACUUGUGGCAUCACUUGAAUGAAGCAGCCAACAGCGCAGGCCAGUUUACUUAUUCUCCCUUGGGACAGGUUGGGGAUGCCCUUGCGGGCAGUAAUGCGCUACAUUUGAACGUGGCAUCCGCCAAUGCAAACCAGUUUCUUUACCCUUCCUUACCAACUACGGGGGGUUGGAUGGAGCCAGACCCACAUACCUCUUGGCCCUUUACCACAGCUAUGCAGCCGGCAGAUAAUUUGGCUGGCCAAAUUCAUGCUCUGCCAUAUGCAUCAGGGGACCUUGAUUUGAUGCUAGGUGACCAUUUGACAGCAAGAACUAUUGAGAAAAUACUAAAAGGCGAAUACAUUGAUGUUUUUUCCCUCCUAUUCAGAGAGGUUGAGAAAAAGGAUUGGGAGGUUAUGGAUGACAAGGAAAGAGGCAAAGUCAAAAAGAGGAAGGUGGACCGUAACUGGCGAAACUGGCAUUCAGGUUUCCUCAUAGAAUCAUAG
RNAcentral lists this long non-coding RNA (1014 nucleotides) under Anolis carolinensis (green anole). RNAcentral's name for it is "lncRNA (ENSACAG00000041743.1)". The record is from RNAcentral. Lineage: Eukaryota; Metazoa; Chordata; Lepidosauria; Squamata; Anolidae.